GACGAACGCUGGCGGCGUGCUUAACACAUGCAAGUCGAACGAUGAUGCUGGAGCUUGCUCCAGUUGAUUAGUGGCGAACGGGUGAGUAACACGUGAGCAAUCUGCCCUUGACUCUGGAAUAACUGCGGGAAACUGUAGCUAAUACCGGAUACUUUCACCGGGGGGCAUCCUCUGGUGAUGAAAGAAUUUCGGUCAAGGAUGAGCUCGCGGCCUAUCAGCUUGUUGGUGAGGUAACGGCCCACCAAGGCGACGACGGGUAACCGGCCUGAGAGGGUGACCGGUCACACUGGGACUGAGACACGGCCCAGACUCCUACGGGAGGCAGCAGUGGGGAAUAUUGCACAAUGGGCGCAAGCCUGAUGCAGCAACGCCGCGUGAGGGAUGAAGGCCUUCGGGUUGUAAACCUCUUUUAGCAGGGAAGAAGCGAAAGUGACGGUACCUGCAGAAAAAGCACCGGCUAACUACGUGCCAGCCGCCGCGGUAA
RNAcentral lists this ribosomal RNA (484 nucleotides) under uncultured bacterium. RNAcentral describes it as "partial 16S ribosomal RNA". It matches the Rfam family "Bacterial small subunit ribosomal RNA", at positions 28 to 523 of the family's 1533-position model. The record is from RNAcentral.